CUCUGGGGAAGGCAGGGCUUUGGUCUAGAAGAUGAGAUUCUUGGGUCUUCUCCUGUGCCUGAUGACAGCUCCACAAAAUGUCCUGUCCCAGGUGAAUCUAAAACAAUGGGGGUCUGACCUCGUGAAACCCUCUCAGUCCUUGUCCCUCACCUGUGCUGUCUAUGGUUACUCCAUUACCAGUGGUUAUGACUGGACCUGGAUCCGCCAGCCCCCAGGGAAGAGCCUGGAGUGGAUGGGGUACAUAAGGUAUGAUGGUAGCACUAACUACAGCCCAUCCCUCAAAAGCCACAUCUCCAUCUCCAGAGACACGUCCAAGAACCAGUUCUCUCUGCAGCUGAGCUCUGUGACCACAGAGGCCACAGCUGUGUAUUACUGUGCUAGAAGCACAGUGAUGUGA
This is a non-coding RNA of Castor canadensis (American beaver), 397 nucleotides long. The record is from the annotation of a RefSeq genome assembly. NCBI's taxonomy places the organism in Eukaryota, Metazoa, Chordata, Mammalia, Rodentia, Castoridae.